GGAAUAUUGGACACUGGGCGAAAGCCUGAUCCAGCGACGCCGCGUGUGUGAAGAAGGCCUGCGGGUUGUAAAGCACUUUCGAUGGGAACGAAAUGUGCCUGGCUAAUACCCCGGCAAGCUGACGUUACUCAAUGAAGAAGCACCGGCUAACGCGGUGCUAGCAGCCGCGGUAAUACAGAGGGUGCGAGCGUUACUCGGAAUUACUGGGCGUAAAGCGCACGUAGGUGGCGACGUAAGUCGGGUGUGAAAGCCCCGGGCUCAACCUGGGAAUUGCAUUCGAGACUGUGUUGCUGGAGUACGGAAGAGGAGGGCGGAAUUCCCGGUGUAGCGGUGAAAUGCGUAGGUAUCGGGAGGAACAUCAGUGGCGAAGGCGGCCCUCUGGUCCAGUACUGACACUCAAGUGCGAAAGCGUGGGGAGCAAA
RNAcentral lists this ribosomal RNA (422 nucleotides) under uncultured bacterium. RNAcentral's name for it is "bacterial SSU rRNA". It matches the Rfam family "Bacterial small subunit ribosomal RNA", at positions 358 to 772 of the family's 1533-position model. The record is from RNAcentral.